CAAAAUAAAAUAAAAUAAAAUAAAAUAAAAACAAAAAUUCAAAUUUCAAAAUUCAAAAUUCAAGUCAAAGAUAAUCAAUAAUCAUACAAAUGAACUAGUUAACCCACGAGUCCCCGCCAACGGCGCCAAAAACUUGAUGACAAAUUUAUGAACACCGAAAAACGGCGCCACAAACUUGUUUAACAAUCGGCAAGUGUGACCAAAUCAUAUCAAGUAAUAAAACAAGGUAAGACCAAAUAUCGUUUUCCCAAAGGACUCACGGCCUAGUUUAGCUAUAUGAUUUAUUGAUUAUUUGAGACUUGUGAAAAAUUGAUUGUAGAUUUAAAUGCAAAAGACAGUAAUUAAAUAUGUAUGCAUGAAUUUGAUCAAUGGAAAAAAACAAAAUACAAACACUUCAAUAACGGCAACCAAUAUGGUAUUGGGAGAAAUUCCUCGGAUCUAGAUUUCCCCGUACGUUCCCAUAUCGACAAAAUCACUAAUCAUGGCAAUUAAUGAGUUAAACAAAGCAAGCUUUACGCAAAGAGGAAAAUCCCUAACUAAUGAUGAAAGAAAGCAUAAGUCUUAAAAAUAAGAUGUUAAAACAAAUUCCAUAUAUGAGAGUUUCACAAGACUACAUUGAUUCCCCAACAACAAUACAAGGUUUAGUUCACCAUAUUCAUGGUGAAACUAGAUGAAUAAUAAUGAAAGAAUGAAAGAUAAAACCCUAGAAAGAGGAGGAGGUAGCUUGAGCAUCCAAGAUCUUCUUUCAAGGGGUGGAAAAGUGAGUGUUUGCUUUGUCUCCGCCAAAGAUACAAACCCUAGGACAUCCUAAAGCUUAUAUACUAUUCUAAAAAUACAGAAAAUUAGGUCCAAGCCCAUAAAAGUGCCGCUCAACGGUAAACUACCGCUCACCAGUAAGUGCAUGAAUUAAUUCUUCCCCCUUCAGCGGCAUUUUCACCCCUCAAUGGAUCCAACAUGAGCUCCUGAGUGCCGCUCAACGGUAAACUGCCGCUGAUCGGUAAUUGCGACUUCUCCUUUUGCACUUUUUGAUGUCUUUUCUGAUUCCAUUUCUAUCCUUCUUCACUUCUUUCACCAAAUUCACCUUAAAACCUGCAUGAAACACUGAAGUCAAGCAUAAACCUGUCCAGCUCUCUUAUUUAUGAAAAUAUGACCAAAAGCAUGAUUUCAAGCUAGUUUCUAAGUGUUAAAGGUUGCUUUUAGUAUCAAUUUUAAGCAUGAAAAUAACAGUUUUUCAACUGUUAUCAACGACAAGGUGAGGAACAUUGAUGUUGUCUUCGGAAAACAUAAAAAGAAGACCAUUGAGAAAAACAUUUGGAAAAAGCGAUCAAUAUUCUUCAAUAUUCCAUAUUGGUGUAAACUUGAUGUGAGACAUUGCAUAGACGUGAUGCAUGUUGGAAAAAAUGUAUGUGAUAGUGUUGUUGGGACUUUACUAAACAUUAAAGGAAAGACAAAAGAUGGAGUGAAAGCACGACAAGACUUGGUUGACAUGGGAAUCCGUUCUGAGUUACAUUUGCAAUCCAUAGGAAGACGCACCUAUCUUCCUCUAGCUUAUCACACUCUUUCAAAAAAAGAAAAACAAUUUUUUUUCAAUGUUUACAUAGUGUGAAGGUUCCACAAGGUUAUUCGUCGAAUAUUAGUUGUCUUGUUUCUAUGAAAGAUUUGAAGUUGGUUGGUUUAAAGUCUCACGAUUAUCAUGUCUUAAUGCAACAUCUUUUACCAGUAGCUAUUCGAGCCAUAUUACAUGCCUCUGUUAGAGGUAUUCUCACACAUUUGAGUUUAUUUUUCAAUGCCAUUUGCAAGAAAGUUGUUGAUCCUCGACAGUUAGAUGAUUUACAAAAUGAGGCCAUCAGACUAUUGUGUCAAUUGGAAAUGUAUUUCCCACCCUCAUUUUUUGAUAUCAUGGUUCAUUUGAUUGUCCAUCUAGUGAGAGAGAUUCGAAUAUGUGGGCCGAUUUUCUUAUGGUGGAUGUACCCGGUUGAAAGAUACAUGAAUAUCUUAAAGGGAUAUGUUAAGAAUCAAUUGAGACCGGAAGCUUCGAUUAUAGAGCGCUACAUUGCAAAGGAAGCCAUUGAAUUCUGCUCAAGUUAUAUGCCAAGUUGUGACCCAAUAGGACUUCCAAAGAAAUGACAUGAAAACAUACGUAAAGGAAAGGGAGUUCGAGGAGUGAGGAUUGAAAGUGUUAGUGGAAAAGAAGUUAAUUAAGCACAUUUGUACAUUUUAAACAACACAGAGGAUGUUAUUCCUUACAUUUCACAACACAUUGAUGAAAUUAAGUUAGCACAUCCACAUAUGAGUGAAAAGAGGACACUUAAUGAACAUAACAAAUCCAUUUUAGCUUGGUUUAAGAAAAAGAUUUAUGCGACUCCGAAUGUUUCUAAAAAUCUAUUGCGACUAGCUCGUGGACCUAACACUAAUGUGAUCACUUUCGGCGGUUAUGGUUAUUACAUAAAAAAUUACUUGUUCUAUUCAAAAGAGGAAGACAAUAAAAAUAGAGUUCAAAAUAGUGGAGUUACCCUACAAGUUAAGGUUGUACACUUUUCCAGUUCCAAGGAUAAGAAUCCAAUUACAACAUCAAUUAGUUAUUUUGGAAUAAUACAAGAUAUUUGGCAAAUUGAUUAUGUCACUUUUAGAGUUCCAGUUUUCAAGUGUAAAUGGAUUGACAAUAAUUAUGGAUUAACAAAAUGAGUUACAAGGAUGAACCAUUUAUUGUGGCUAGUCAAGCAAGACAAAUAUUCUAUGUCACUAACCUAGUGAAUCAUAAAUGGUCAGUGGUAUUUGAAGGUAGAGCCAUGCACACAACUGAUGAUGAAGACUCUCUAGAUAUACUUAAGACAAGCUCCUUCUCAUCAAGAACCAUUAAAAAUAAGGUCGAUGAUGUAUCUGAUGAAAUACAUGCAACAUCGUUCAAAAGUUACUUGGGCGUGAUGGCAAAAACACAUGUUCCUAUUGUCGCUACUUGUUGGGAUGAUGUCCCACAGGUUGACAAAAAUCUACUAUGGCAGAAUAUUUUGGAAAAUUGGAAUGUCCCUAAUGAUGAGAUGAUAAGGAAGAAGAUUUUAUCCCACAUUGUAGUCCGGUGGAGGGACUUCAAGACGAGAAUGACACAUCAAUACGUCUUUGGCUCUAAACAAAACGACACUCCUUGUAACAAAUAUAAAAUAACUUAGGAGGAGUGGGUGUAGUUUAAAGAAUCUAGACUUACUCCUGAGUGGCAGGUGAAAUGGAUAGUCGCCCAGCAGAGGAAGAAGCUUAAUGAUACACCACACGUAUUGUCACGUGGUGGUUAUGUGUUAUUAGAUAAAAAGAUGAGAAAAUGUCGCGCUGAGGAGUUAGGUCUUGAGUCACUUGAUCUCGCACCUCCACCAGCCAGACAUGAAUUGUGGAAGGUUGCACGGACAAAGUCCAACGGCCAGUUUACAUCCCAGUCUGCUCAGGAGAUAUCCUAGAGAAUUCUUCAUUAUGAUAUGCAUGAUGACUUGGUUGACAAACAAAGUCAAGGAACAUUUAUGGCACAAGGUAGGGAGGACCUCCUAGUAGCAGCCAUAGGUUGGCUAGACCGUCCAGGUCGUGUGCGUGGUGUUGAAGGAGCUAUUGGAUUGAGAGACUACUUUGGCCCUAAACCAAGAACACAGUAGUUGUGACUCAAGAAAUGGUUAGUAGCAUCAGGCAACAGGUGCAAGUCGAAUUAGAGGAAAGCAUGGAUGAACGCUUCAAAAUGCUCGAAGAAAAACUUGCGAUGAUCACCCAACAACAGCAACAACAACAACAACAACAACAACAACAACAACAACAACAAGAGCAACAACAACCGUCACAGCAACAGGAUGCCCCUACAGAUGAUCCUAUUGCACCUCAUGUGAGCACCAAAGGCUCAUGCUCUACUGCAGAUUGUACUAAUUACAAUAUUCAGUAUGAGUUUUUGGUUGAUGAGGAUCCUCCGUGCGUAGUGGCCGUGGGACGACAGAUUGCAGGAGGCCAAACUAUUCAUGGUGCUCCUUUAUUGCCCACUCACGCGCGGGUAAUGAUUGAUGAUCCAAGAGACCCCCAGGCUCGAGUGUCAUUGCCUACAUCUGAAAUCGAAUUCUUGGGGAGGCCUUAGGCACAUUUAUAGCUUGGCCUAAGGAUAUGAUCAUGCCAUAUUUUGGCCCACAAACGGUUUACCGUCCUGAGAAACAAUCAAUUGCUCAACCUGUGAACGAGGCUCGUGAGGAAGCAGAAGACCAUGAUGUUAUAUCCAUAUUAACCUCCAGAUUAAAUAAGUUGAGAAAAGGACCGGUAGAGAUGUUGUGGGAGUUAAGAACAUUUGGCCUCGAGUGCCAUGUUCCAUUGUAUAUUAAUUUCGAUGAUGCUUAUGAGAUCAUUGGUGGAGAAAAAAUGCUCAACAUUUCAUGCAUACAACUAUGGUGCAUGUACAUGGACACCAUCGUAGUUGAAUCAGGUCGGGCGUCAGUUUAGGGCUUUCUUGAACCUCAGACCAUUCAACCAUCUGGAAACAGAUUAGAUUUCAGAAAAUCAUAUAUUCAAACAUGGAUGACUAAGUCUAACUGAGAGAUAUAUAUCGCACCAUACAUUGAUGCGUAUGUGUUUCCCAGUAUUGUCAACUUUUAUCAUAUUUUAAUCAAUAAACUAACUCACUAGUUAUUGGUACAUGACAAGGGCCAUUGACAACUCAUGGUGAUCAUUCCAAAAAAGCACAAGUUGUGUGGUUUUGUUCUCUUCAUAGGAAGAUUAAAGCGGAGUUGAAGUCCUUGAUACAAACAGUUGUGACUAGGACCAGAGAACAACAACUUGAAAUUAUAUAUCCUAAGUGUAAUAAGCAGAAUGAUUCCUGGGCAUGUGGCUACUACAUCAUGUCAUGGAUGAAGGCAAUCAUCCGAGCAGAAAUCAGAGGGGAAUGGACUGAGGUUUGGUUGAAUGAGCUAAAUCGAAUCAAAUCCAAAAAACAAACACUGAAGUCGACCCUUUCAUCUUGGAAGAGGAAGUCUAGGGUUAGGGUUGAGAGAGAGCGAGAAAGAAAAAAAAAAAGGAGAACUCCAUGGCUGCCAUAGGCUAGACGUGCUCGGUGAUCAAAAGAGUUGGAACCGGCAACGUGCGAAGCAUCAGGAUGAUGCACAUAUUUUCUGCAGGGAGUCCUAGGUGAGUUUAUCUUUAAAUUUAUACAACAUAAAUCUUUGUGAAAGAUCAGAUCCAGCAAGCAGGAUUUCACGUUUAGGCUUAUACAACUGAUAGGAAGAUUCAAAAGAAGGUCAAGGUAUUGGGCAGAGGGAAUCCACAUUGCCAUAUUUAGAACCCGAAGUCACCGGGCAAAGAUUGGUUGUCAGAGCCAACUUUGUUUGUGCUGGAACUGGAAUUGUCAAUACUUGAAGCGUUUGAAAAGUGUUGCUUUGAAAACCCUUGGACAAUAUUACAGAGGAAAAAUCGUAGGCGCAUUGAAUAGUUUAUUGUGAAGUUUUUUGUCUUUGGAUAUAUGUAUGAAUUCAUAUGUAUUGUUAGGAAACACAAUUGUAAUUUUAAAUGAACUUAACUCUUCAUAUUUUUUGAUGAAUAAAGGUUGAAUAUUUGAUCCAUUUGUAAUUAUUAUUGAGGUUUUCAUUUUUCAGGUUGAA
Vigna angularis (adzuki bean) is the source of this 5606-nucleotide RNA transcript. It is a transcript of the gene named sucrose transport protein SUC4-like, with no coding region annotated. The transcript has 13 exons. The record is from RefSeq and is a predicted model, not a curated record. Lineage: Eukaryota; Viridiplantae; Streptophyta; Magnoliopsida; Fabales; Fabaceae.